UACGAAGGGGGCUAGCGUUGCUCGGAAUUACUGGGCGUAAAGGGCGCGUAGGCGGAUAUCUAAGUCGGGGGUGAAAGCCCGGGGCUCAACCUCGGAAUAGCCUUCGAUACUGGAUAUCUUGAGUACGGGAGAGGUGAGUGGAACUCCGAGUGUAGAGGUGAAAUUCGUAGAUAUUCGGAAGAACACCAGUGGCGAAGGCGACUCACUGGCCCGUUACUGACGCUGAGGCGCGAAAGCGUGGGGAGCAAACAGG
Molecule: ribosomal RNA, 253 nt
Filed under: uncultured bacterium
Lineage: Bacteria
Description: partial 16S ribosomal RNA
Rfam family: Bacterial small subunit ribosomal RNA
Source: RNAcentral